RNAcentral lists this long non-coding RNA (429 nucleotides) under Olea europaea (common olive). RNAcentral describes it as "long non-coding RNA (OEUR_LNC012147)". The record is from RNAcentral. Lineage: Eukaryota; Viridiplantae; Streptophyta; Magnoliopsida; Lamiales; Oleaceae.
GCCUUUAGCACUGUAGAUUUAAAGCAAAAGACAUUCCAGGAAGUGUGUUAAAAGGGGUGCCAGAUUUUUGUACCACAUAUAUCAUCCAGUGGAAAGGAAAGAUUUCAUCUAUGCGAGCUGCUUCCCGUCCACCCCCGUCUCUCCUAAGCCCAAUGCGUGCACAAAUAAUGCUUCGUGUCUGCAGCCUAUCUGACGCAUCUCAGCCAUCAUUAUUCUCCAGCAACAAUUCCAAAAGUUGGUCAAUUUUCAGAAAUAUUAUUUCUCUGUUUUUUUCUAUACCAUCCAGUCAUAGACUCAUAGAUUCAGUAGUGAGUUUAUUUCUAUGCAGGUUCUUUUUCCGGACAAUCGAAGCCAGGAUCUGAACCAUCUCCAAAUGCCAUGCAAAAUGAGGCAAACUUCAUGAAGUAUGUCACAAUUAGUUCCUCAAAG